CACAGGAGCGGAGGAUGGAGGAUGAGGGGUAGGAUAUGGAUACAUGGUAGCCGAAAGUAGGUGAAGCAGCCGCUAACGAAGACCAACUGGAGGAUGGGAUGGGAUGCUCAGGAGGAAGGGAAGGGAAGGAGGCACCAAGCCAGUAUCAAUGGGAGGCAAUCGGACAUGCCGACGCAUUGGCAGCCAACACAAAAAGAAACUAACUCACAAAGUCUAGAGUGGGUGGCACUCGACUCACGCACUGCGUUGUAGGAAUCUGGCGGGGAUUCCCAGGAGGCAGGGAAUCUGGUCUUUUAGGGACAACAAUGCGCGGUUCGAUUUGUUUGCGAUUUGGAUAGAGCAAAUUUACAGCGGCCGAAAAAUGUCCCAUGUCUAAAACGUCCACAUUUCUCAUUGAAAAUAUCCGUAGGUGGUCAAAAUCCUGAAACCAGAUGGAGUAAGAAGUGUCGUAUACUUAUACCAGUCAACUUCCUAUGAUCCCAAAAAAGAGAUUCGUGCUUUACCUCGGGACUCAGGCGCUUACCCAUUCCGUUCGAAACCCAUUUGUAUAUCCUCGGAGCCCCUAUAACGGCUUUCAUUAAUGUUCAUAACUUGAUCUCCGGUUAGGAUAAUUUUAGUUUUAAUUGCUUUAGAAGCAUUAAUGCAUAUUUCCUAGAAGAAAACGAAAUAGAAACCGAGUUCGGAAUCAGCAUCUAAAUUGAAUAAAAUAUUAUGAGCUCUCUGAGGCUCAAGUGCUCCCUGUUUGCACAUCUCUGCAGGAAACCCUCAUCACUGACUGCUUAGUGAGAUAACCCAAAUUCUGCAUAACUGUUCCACUCCAGUUUGGUCUCUUGAUCUUCCAGCCGCAUAUCUCCUUUCUGUGGACUCCACCCUGCCUGCCAUACUGCAUACUGCACUAAGCACCUCAAAGUCGCCCCGACAACGAGAAAGUUCAUUAUAUUUCCAUUUCCAUUUGCGUGGCGUCGGCGGCGUCGAUCUGCAAAUUAUCCUGACACCCGGCUCCAUCCAACAUCUAAUGCCGUUUCAGCAUCGCUUUCAGUUACUUUUGGAUUCGGUUUCGAGGCAAUACGAGAUCCACUUGACCAUCGUCCAGGUCGACAGUUGCGUGUUUUCCAGAUUUCGGUUUCGUGUUGAAGUAAAUGGAGAGUGAAGUGGAAGAGGGUGGAUCGAGGCGUUAUUUUGACUUUGAUAUUAUAACCGCAAUUAGUCGACAUGGUUUCGAGUGCUAUCUCUGGCAUCUGCGCUUGCCUUGAAUAGACUGCGCUGCCUGGACCGCCUUCUUUCUUGGAUUCCAGUGAGAGUUCGCAUGGAUUCCAUUUCCCUGAGUUUUCCGCCAUCUUGACCGUCUCGAGCGGCGAGCCUCAAGUGGCGGAUGAUUGGGCACGAGAAGCACUGGACAGCAGGAAAAACUUCCUCCCUGGGAGUGACUCAGCCUUCAUUUCCACCCAGAUGUAUAUGGAGUGUAGAUUGAGAUUUAAGCUGAGAUCGAUUGGGCUUGGAGUGCGAGUAUUAAGCUUUCGAUUGCUCAAAGAAGAGGUUGAAUGUCAAAAAGAAAAAACAUGAAACGGGAAUCUGAGCGCAGGAUGCCUGUACCUUGUGUUUGCAGUCCGCCAUAAGUAAGUCGAAAUCGGAAUCAAAUUUCCUGUCAAUUAGAGCAGCGACUGCGACGAGAUCUCCGCCCCUUCUUUGAACCGGGGAGCGGCUCCCAGCACUCAAUUAAUUAGUACCUCCGUCUAAAAGGGGAAAGGGGCACGGAUAGUGGACAGUUCCAAGCCGAAUCUGCUGGAGCGAGGAGAUAUACAAAGAACUACCAGCAAACUGACCAGCGGAGCUCAUCAAGCCACCUACGCUUACGGUACUCGACCAACUGCAAAUUAAUCUCCCUCCUCCUGCUCCCCCUCCUCCUCAUUCUCUGACCGACACACUCCCGGUUUCUUUGCAGAUCUGGGAAUAGGAAUAGGAAGCCCCGGGGCCUGCCACACUUCUGAAGUCAUUUUCCAAAUGCUUGACAAUUUAUCAUUCCGCUUUAUUUGGGCAAUUUUUCUGUUCGUCAAGUGCUCUUGGCCAAAGGGAACAGAAAACUGGCAAAAAGGUAGCACUUGGCAGAAGUCAAUGGCUUGACCCAUAUCUGGGUCAGUCUGAUUGAGAAGCCGGCGGCCGUCGACUGCCAAAAAUGUUAAUUAAUUCGAAUUAAAAUGUUGCGAAUGUGGUCGCUGACAGAAUCUGAGUUCGGCAAAGGAAAUGUAGUUGGUCUCUGGAUGUAGAGAUGGCAUAGGAGUUCCGAAACGGAGUAGAGUCAAGAUAUGCCGAAGAAGGCGGUGGCGUUGGCAGUUUUCCGUUGGCCAGAGUCACCUGAACCGCUGAUAACUCAGGCCACCGAUUCCGUUUCCAUUUCUAUUGUACUUGGAGCGGCUUUCGGUUUUGGUGGUUCUGCGGUUUUGCAACGGACCAAAGGCCAGGCCAGAAUUUUGAUAUUGAAAUUGCUACCUUGGCACACCGAGAAGCCGAACACAGAGGAAAUUCUGCCGGAGGCCAUGGUUUGAUAACAUCAGUUCGAGGGGGAGGAACUCGAGGAGGAGCGCCUCCCACUAUAGGCCGACGUACUGUAGGAAAACAAAAGACAACAAUUCCAUUUGGUAAACGCUCGCCCUGGGAGGAAAGCGGGAAAUGCAACGCCAUGGCGAAAAAAGAAUGAAAAAUAAUCUAAAGUUUGGACGUGGAGUUGCAGCUCAGUUCGGUUUUGGUUUCGGUUUGCGUUUGCUUUAGUCAAAUGUAACUACAAUUUAAAUGCUAAUCUGGCAUCUGUUGGCGGUCGGAGGUUGGCGGAUUUCGGAUGGUGGGCAAUGGCACUGCAGAACGCAGCAACAUGGGCAAACAGCCCGCCCAUGAACCGCCCACCGAUUGGUGGGUGUGCAGGAGGAGGAGGUGGAAUCGGGGAAGUAUGGAGUAUAGUCACACUUAGCGGUUGGAGACGGGAUUUGCAUUUGCUCAUUAGCUACCAAAACAAACCCACAAAUAAAGGAGGCGAACAUUCAGAGGCCCAUGCCCUCAAAGGUGCUUAUUUAUUGUACAAUCUGACUCCUGACUGACUCCGCUGUAUAAUUAGUUUUCACGCCUAUAAACUGCCGACUUUAUUUGUGGCGGACGCCUGCUCUGGAUUCCCAGCGAAAUUGGCCACAAAAAUGUCGGAUCUCGGAUUUCUGGCCGAGGUUCAACGGAACACACUACCACCUAUCCCCCCGAACGGUUUCUUGGAAACCGCGACACUUGAGAACACUAAAAAUACAAAUACGAAUAGAAUCAGAAAUAAGAAGUAAGCCAAAACUAGCAGCACUAUCAAGAGCGAAAGAACAUUUGUAAACUGCCAAUUAUUAUGAAAAGUAAAGACAGCCACAUCGGCC
Drosophila melanogaster (fruit fly) is the source of this 3401-nucleotide non-coding RNA. The record is from Ensembl. Lineage: Eukaryota; Metazoa; Arthropoda; Insecta; Diptera; Drosophilidae.